GCAAAUCAUCAUCUCCACCAUUUCCAUUACCAGUUUGGCACACAUAAAACUAUGGCCGGAAACAUGCGAGAAAUAUUCAUCAACUGGGUCACUAGGCUGAAGAAGAUGCUCUGUUUAACUACGAAGGAGGACAAAGAGAGCACGAGUUUCAGUUCGUCAUCAAGCGCCAUCUACUGUGAUGAGCUGUUCCGUCCUACCAACAUGGGUGAUCGCAACGCCAACCAUUUUCUCUCGGCUUACGUAGCUGCUCAAAACCACUUCAGACUCAGGCAGAACAUUUUCAUGUAAACAGAAAGAUGCAUGGAAUCUGCAUUUAUAAUUUCCAUCUUCCACUCUUUAGUUAUAUAUGCUGUUGUAUGUAUGCUUUUUUAAAAGACUGAGA
RNAcentral lists this long non-coding RNA (382 nucleotides) under Phoenix dactylifera (date palm). RNAcentral's name for it is "long non-coding RNA (PDAC_LNC000273)". Lineage: Eukaryota; Viridiplantae; Streptophyta; Magnoliopsida; Arecales; Arecaceae. The record is from RNAcentral.